Long non-coding RNA from Saccostrea cuccullata (small rock oyster), 420 nucleotides. RefSeq lists it as uncharacterized. The record is from RefSeq and is a predicted model, not a curated record. The transcript is spliced from 3 exons. NCBI's taxonomy places the organism in Eukaryota, Metazoa, Mollusca, Bivalvia, Ostreida, Ostreidae.
GUCGCUGGUGUACUAGAGGUGGUUACGUAAACGCUUUAAUCACCGCGGCGCUUGUAACAAUGUAAACAAAUGGACGUGUCCUCGAACUUGGAGCCAAACGGAGGGGCUGAAUCGAUCUUUAAUCGAGCUGUCACAACCGGGAGAAAGGUUUAUCCGAAUCUUGGGAGAUCAGCAGGUAAAAUAAGAAGUCAAAGCUUACAGGGAGCUUUAUUAUGGCUGGAUGGUACAUGUUACAUAAAAAUUCUAUUUUUCCCCAUCUAAUUCAUGAAAUGGCAUCCAUCCUAUUGUCAGUGCUGACAGGGAAAAAAGAUGAACUGGUGUAUUACAACCUAAGACAAAGUGUUGAGAUGUUUGGCAGUCCUAUACAUUCACAGAGAAAAUGUUCUGCUGGAAAUAUGGGGCAACAUUCAGCCUGUACAC